AACUAAAAAAGGGCAAUCCUGAGCCAAAUCUUUGUUUCGAGAU
This 43-nucleotide transfer RNA is filed under the name Taeniophyllum sp. YJW-2022a. RNAcentral describes it as "partial tRNA-Leu". Lineage: Eukaryota; Viridiplantae; Streptophyta; Magnoliopsida; Asparagales; Orchidaceae. The record is from RNAcentral.